CCGGGAUAGGUCAGCUGG
This 18-nucleotide transfer RNA is filed under the name Vitis riparia (riverbank grape). RNAcentral's name for it is "partial transfer RNA-Phe". The record is from RNAcentral. Lineage: Eukaryota; Viridiplantae; Streptophyta; Magnoliopsida; Vitales; Vitaceae.